Molecule: ribosomal RNA, 232 nt
Filed under: uncultured bacterium
Lineage: Bacteria
Description: partial 16S ribosomal RNA
Rfam family: Bacterial small subunit ribosomal RNA
Source: RNAcentral
CGGGAGGGUGAGUAAUGUCUAGGGAAACUGCCGAUGGAGGGGGAUAACUACUGGAAACGGUAGCUAAUACCGCAUAACGUCGCAAGACCAAAGAGGGGGACCUUCGGGCCUCUUGCCAUCGGAUGUGCCCAGAUGGGAUUAGCUAGUAGGUGGGGUAACGGCUCACCUAGGCGACGAUCCCUAGCUGGUCUGAGAGGAUGACCAGCCACACUGGAACUGAGACACGGUCCAG